Small nuclear RNA from Neomonachus schauinslandi (Hawaiian monk seal), 106 nucleotides. The record is from RefSeq and is a predicted model, not a curated record. Lineage: Eukaryota; Metazoa; Chordata; Mammalia; Carnivora; Phocidae.
AUGCUCAUUUCAACAUCUUAUGCAUUAAAAUUAGAACCUUACAGACAGAUUAGCAAGGCCUCCGCACAAGAGUGACGUGUACAUACCUGAAGCGAUCCGCAUAUUU